Salmo salar (Atlantic salmon) is the source of this 2668-nucleotide non-coding RNA. The record is from RefSeq and is a predicted model, not a curated record. Lineage: Eukaryota; Metazoa; Chordata; Actinopteri; Salmoniformes; Salmonidae.
UUCUACUGUCAUGUGACCAGUUGUCUCUGCUACUGUCAUGUGACCACAGGUGUCGCUGCUACUGUCAUGUGACCACAGGUGUCUCUGCUACUGUCAUGUGACCACAGGUGUCUCUUCUACUGUCUUGUGACCACAGGUGUCGCUGCUACUGUCAUGUGAUCACAGGUGUCUCUGCUACUGUCAUGUGACCACAGGUGUCGCUGCUACUGUCAUGUGACCACAGGUGUCUCUUCUACUGUCUUGUGACCACAGGUGUCGCUGCUACUGUCAUGUGACCACAGGUGUCUCUGCUACUGUCAUGUGACCACAGGUGUCUCUGCUACUGUCAUGUGACCACAGGUGUCUCUUCUACUGUCUUGUGACCACAGGUGUCUCUGCUACUGUCAUGUGAUCACAGGUGUCUCUGCUACUGUCAUGUGAUCACAGGUGUCUCUGCUACUGUCAUGUGAUCAGUUGUUUCUGCUACUAGGUACUGUCUGUGAACAUACGGGUCGUUUAAACCUCUCUUCCUAAACCUGCUCUGGCUAAAGGCAGCAGCAACACAUUCUUUCAUUGUCUAAAUUGGUGCAAUUGUGCUUUCUUGCAACCACAUUGGAUAAUUGUUUUUUCACAAGACAUCUGGAUGAGACUUCUGGACCCUAAACUCAUGGAGAUGGAGAGGGCCCAUAGGAAUGGCACUUUCUGCCCCGAUGGACGGGCCAGAUCUAUAGUGGUGAAACUGCUCAGGUUCAAAGACCAGGAGGACAUUCUCAGGGGAGCCAAGUGCCUGAAGGGAACCAACAUCUUCAUCAAUGAAGACUUCUCUAAAAAGGGUCUUCUCUAAAAAGGUACUCCUCAAAGGAAAGGAACUGCUGCCACGAGCUGAGAACGAAAGGCAACGUCACAUAGCUGAAGUAUGAUCAGUUGGUCGUUCACACCCCUCUCGUAUGCCAAUGGAAAGUGACUCUGCUAUAGUCCACUGACUUGACACACACACACACACAUUUACUCUACUCUACUUUGUUCAUGUGUUUCACCUAACCUCAUGACCAAAAACACACAGAACCCUCUGAAGUCUUCAGAGAUGUUAUGUGGACUGUGUCAAUGUGCGUUCCGUAGGAAGUGCAUCUCUAUUGAUGAAACUAACACUAAUGUGUGGUUGUAAUGGACAUGUGAGGCGCACACUUCUGUUUCUGUUCCACUCUCUGGAUGAUUCCCACUGUGUAUCUCUCUUAGUUGGGCAGGAUAUCAAUCUUGGUAACAUGGUCCUUAACCUGUUAGAUAUUAAUGAAGCCAAGGAUAUCAAUCCUGAUAACAUGGUCCUUAACCUGUUAAUGAAGCCAAGGAUAUCAACCCUGGUAACAUGGUCCUUAACCUGUUAGAUAUUAAUGAAGCCAAGGAUAUCAACCCUGGUAACAUGGUCCUUAACCUGUUAGAUAUUAAUGAAUCCAAGGAUAUCAACCCUGAUAACAUGGUCCUUAACCUGUUAGAUAUUAAUGAAUCCAAGGAUAUCAACCCUGAUAACAUGGUCCUUAACCUGUUAGAUAUUAAUGAAUCCAAGGAUAUCAACCCUGGUAACAUGGUCCUUAACCUGUUAGAUAUUAAUGAAGCCAAGGAUAUCAACCCUGGUAACAUGGUCCUUAACCUGUUAGAUAUUAAUGAAGCCAAGGAUAUCAACCCUGGUAACAUGGUCUAUAACUCAUUAGAUAAUAAUGAAGCCAAAGAUAAAUAUAAUGACUGUGUUGAUGUAGAUUCAAAUUUCCCGAAAUGUACCUGAAAUUUGUGAUUUACUAUUACGUUAAGCAAUUUAACAACCUAUAUAGCAAUUUAACUAAUUCCAAGAUAAGGUUUUUUUUAAAAAAAUUUUAUAUAUACUUUUUUUAAUUUGAACAUUCGCUGUCUUCCAAAAAAAAAAAUCACGAUCACCUUGUUCAUUAUCUGUCUUCUCUCAGCCAUGUUCCGUUGUUGCCCUUUCAGAAACAUGGUUGACUGAAGAGAGAACCACGCUUUAUGUCUCCGUUUUAUAAUGCUGUUCACCACCGUAGCACAUCAAGACUGGGAGGAGGUGGGUCUAUUUUUGUUCAUAAAUAUUUUCAAUUCUUUGUAAGAGAGGACCUCGCACUUAAAUCUUAUAACAUUAUUGUUGAAUCUUUUUUUCCUAGAAAUUCCCUCCUGUUUAGUUUUUUUAAAAUUUUUGCUGGUAAAAAAAGUGGUAAUUGGAGACGUCUAUCUGCCACCUGAUUCUGACGUUGGUCAUUUCCUUGAUAUCCUCGCAUCCACCUUCGAUUUGAUUAAUAUUGACGAUAACACGUGUUUUCUAUUGGGUGAUUUACAACAUGCAUUUAUUUCAAAGUGAGAACCACUCACUUGACAUCUGACUUUUUGAAUUGUUUAUACUUCAGCGAUCUGUAUUCCCUCAUCUAUGUGUGGCUCAGUUGGUAGAGCAUGGUGUUUGCAACGCCAGGGUUGUGGGUUCGAUUCCCACGGGGGACCAGUACGGAGAAGAAAAAAAAAAUGUAAUGUAUGCAUUCACUAUUGUAAGUCGCUCUGGAUAAGAACGUCUGCUAAAUGACUAAAAUGUAAAUCUAUAAGCCCAUAGACUGACCAGUUCACCUACCACCCUUAUUGCUAUUUUUUUUUUUACAAAGUCUUUGAAUAAUGUGGCUAAUACAGGUAUACUUUAUACUGA